Molecule: ribosomal RNA, 119 nt
Filed under: Pteropus alecto (black flying fox)
Lineage: Eukaryota; Metazoa; Chordata; Mammalia; Chiroptera; Pteropodidae
Source: RNAcentral
GUCUAUGGCCAUGCCACCCUGAACGUACCAGAUCUCAUCUGAUCUCGGAACCUAAGCAGGGUCAAGCCUGGUUAGUACUUGGACGGGAGACCACCUAGGAAGACCAGGUGCUGUAGGGG